GUAGGGUGCAAGCGUUGUCCGGAAUUACUGGGUGUAAAGGGAGCGCAGGCGGACCGGCAAGUUGGAAGUGAAAACUAUGGGCUCAACCCAUAAAUUGCUUUCAAAACUGCUGGCCUUGAGUAGUGCAGAGGUAGGUGGAAUUCCCGGUGUAGCGGUGGAAUGCGUAGAUAUCGGGAGGAACACCAGUGGCGAAGGCGACCUACUGGGCACCAACUGACGCUGAGGCUCGAAAGCAUGGGUAGCAAACAGGAUUAGAUACCCUGGUAGUCCAUGCCGUAAACGAUGAUUACUAGGUGUUGGAGGAUUGACCCCUUCAGUGCCGCAGUUAACACAAUAAGUAAUCCACCUGGGGAGU
Molecule: ribosomal RNA, 355 nt
Filed under: uncultured bacterium
Lineage: Bacteria
Description: bacterial SSU rRNA
Rfam family: Bacterial small subunit ribosomal RNA
Source: RNAcentral